RNAcentral lists this ribosomal RNA (443 nucleotides) under uncultured bacterium. RNAcentral's name for it is "bacterial SSU rRNA". It matches the Rfam family "Bacterial small subunit ribosomal RNA", at positions 28 to 461 of the family's 1533-position model. The record is from RNAcentral.
GAUGAACGCUAGCGAUAGGCCUAACACAUGCAAGUCGAGGGGCAUCACAUGAGGCAGCAAUGCCGAUGGUGGCGACCGGCGCACGGGUGAGUAACACGUAUGCAACCUGCCUUCAACAAGGGGAUAACCCGUUGAAAAACGGACUAAUACCCUAUAAUACAGGGGUCCCGCAUGGGGAUAUUUGUUAAAGAUUGAUCGGUUGAAGAUGGGCAUGCGUUCCAUUAGCUGGUUGGUGAGGUAACGGCUCACCAAGGCAACGAUGGAUAGGGGAACUGAGAGGUUUAUCCCCCACACUGGUACUGAGACACGGACCAGACUCCUACGGGAGGCAGCAGUGAGGAAUAUUGGUCAAUGGACGCAAGUCUGAACCAGCCACGUCGCGUGAAGGAAGACGGCCCUACGGGUUGUAAACUUCUUUUGUAAGGGAAUAAAGUGUAGUACGC